This 405-nucleotide ribosomal RNA is filed under the name uncultured bacterium. RNAcentral's name for it is "partial 16S ribosomal RNA". It matches the Rfam family "Bacterial small subunit ribosomal RNA", at positions 29 to 526 of the family's 1533-position model. The record is from RNAcentral.
AUUGAACGCUGGCGGCAGGCCUAACACAUGCAAGUCGAACGAGUGGCGGACGGGUGAGGAAUGUCUGGGAAACUGCCUGAUGGAGGGGGAUAACUACUGGAAACGGUAGCAAUACCGCAUACCAUCAGAUGUGCCCAGAGGGGAUUAGCGAGUUGGUGGGGUAAAGGCUCACCAAGGCGACGAUCCCUAGCUGGUCUGAUAGGAUGACCAGCAACAAUGGAACUGAGACACGGUACAGAGUCCUACGGGAGGCAGCAGUGGGGAAUAUUGCACAAUGGGCGCAAGCCUGAUGCAGCCAUGCCGCGUGUAUGAAGAAGGCCUUCGGGUUGUAAAGUACUUUCAGCGGGGAGGCGUUACCCGCAGAAGAAGCACCGGCUAACUCCGUGCCAGCCGCCGCGGUGAUAC